RNAcentral lists this ribosomal RNA (1122 nucleotides) under Triticum aestivum (bread wheat). RNAcentral describes it as "partial small subunit ribosomal RNA". The record is from RNAcentral. Lineage: Eukaryota; Viridiplantae; Streptophyta; Magnoliopsida; Poales; Poaceae.
AUGAUCUGCAAUGCACAUCUUGGUGACAGCAAGAGGUGCCUGGGAUCACUGCCCGCGUCCUCUCAACUGCUGCUGCUGAAGGUGCUUGAUCUAGAAGGCUGCAAAGGCUUGGAGAAGCGCCAUCUGAACAACAUCUGCAAGUUGUUCAUGCUCAAGUACUUGAGCCUCAGGAACACUGAUGUUUCUGUGCUGCCCAGGCAAAUCCAUAGGCUGCAGCAGCUAGAGACGCUGGACAUUCGGCAAACCAAGAUACAAGCCUUCCCCACAGAUUUUGCCAAGCUCCUGAUGCUCAAGCAUCUGCUCGCAGGCCAUGCAGACUUCUCCCCGGUCAAGGACACCAUCAACUCCAAGGAAUCAUUUUCCACGCCGCGGAUGCCCCAUGGAAUCGGGGCCAUGAGGGGGAACCUGGAGAUACUGUCACACGUACAGGUCUCCGGGAGUGGCAGUGAGUCGAUGCUCAUGGAUGUUGGGCAGCUAGUCAAGGUACGGAAGCUAGGAGUUGUUCUCCAUGGCAAGAAGGUUGCCAGCUCCUUCAAGCAUCUCCUCCAAGCAAUCAGCAAGCUGCACAAAUGCCUUCGUUCUUUGUCAAUCCGAAUUGGACAUCCUGUCGAUGAGACCGAUCCUCUUACAUUCCGCAUGGAUCAAGAGAAUCCAUUUUCACCUCCCGAGUUUCUCCAGAGCCUGUACAUCGGCGGCCUCACAGGCGUUGGGCUGCCUCCAUGGAUCACAGAGCUCCACCAAUUUGCCAAGAUUACCUUGCGCGACACCUCCCUCAAGGAUCAUGCCAUACGACUCCUUGGCAAACUCGGUGGCUUGCGCUGCCUUAGGCUCCGACAGAUGUCCUACGGCGAAAUGAAGAUCACUUUUGGGAAAGAAGAAUUCCCAAGCCUCAAGUUUCUCGCCAUUGAGUGUUCCGACAUCACCAACAUAAUCUUCGAGAGUGGAACGGCACCUAGGCUUGAGAAGCUAGCUUGGGCUUUCAAGAGCAUGCAGUUCAUCUCCGGAAUCGGCAAUCUCCCAAGGCUGAAAGAGCUCGAGCUCAGCGGCAGCUGCAACCCAGACCCCGUGAAGCAGGCCGUCGCAGCACACCUGAAUCAUCCCGUCUUCAAGCACAAUGCCUGA